Molecule: long non-coding RNA, 226 nt
Filed under: Capsicum annuum
Lineage: Eukaryota; Viridiplantae; Streptophyta; Magnoliopsida; Solanales; Solanaceae
Description: long non-coding RNA (CANN_LNC020770)
Source: RNAcentral
AAAUUUUUGAACAUCAUAAACUUCUCUAAUUGGGAUACUAUCUAGAACUUAUGCAUGUUUUCUGGAUGAAGAUAUUCAAGAGGAUUCGAGCAGAGUUUCUUACUAGUCAUGUUCUGGCUAAAAGAGUGGCAUUUUUUUAGGGUUGAAAGUAGGCAGAGAGUGAAAAGAGAGAAUGAUAAAUAGUUCUUGAUUAUCAGAGAGAUAGUCGAUGAGUGUUUUCUCUAAG